GCAAGACCAAAGUGGGGGACUUCGGGCCUCAUGCCAUCAGAUGUGCGCAGAUGGGAUUAGCUAGUAGGUGGGGUAACGGCUCAGGUAGGCGACGAUCCCUAGCUGUUCUGAGAGGAUGACCACACACUGGAACUGACACACGGUCCAGACUCUACGGGAGCCAGCAGUGGGGAAUAUUGCACAAUGGGCGCAAGCCUGAUGCAGCCAUGCCGCGUGUGUGAAGAAGGCUUCGGGUUGUAAAGCACUUUCAGCGGGGAGGAAGGNGAUAAGGUUAAUAACCUUGUCGAUUGACGUUACCCGCAGNAGAAGCAGCCGGCUAACUCCGUGCCAGCAGCCGCGGUAAUACGGAGGGUGCAAGCGUUAAUCGGAAUUACUGGGCGUAAAGCGCACGAGGCGGUCUGUCAAGUCGGAUGNGAAAUCCCCGGGCUCAACCUGGGAACUGCAUUCGAAACUGGCAGGNUAGAGUCUUGUAGAGGGGGGUAGAAUUCCAGGUGUAGCGGUGAAAUGCGUAGAGAUCUGGAGGAAUACCGGUGGCGAAGGCGGCCCCNUGGACAAAGACUGACGCCCAGGUGCGAAAGGUGGGGAGCAAACAGGAUUAGAUACCCUGGUAGUCCACGCCGUAAACGAUGUCGAUUUGGAGGUUGUGCCCUUGAGGCGUGGCUUCCGGAGCUAACGCGUUAAAUCGACCGCCUGGGGAGUACGGCCGCAAGUUAAAACUCAAAUGAAUUGACGGGGGCCCGCACAAGCGUGGAGCAUGUGGUUUAAUUCGAUGCAACGCGAAGAACCUUACCUGGUCUUGACAUCCACAGAACUUUCCAGAGAUGGAUUGGUCUUCGGGAACUGUGAGACAGGUGCUGCAUGGCUGUNGUCAGCUCGUGUUGUUAAGUCCCGCAACGAGCGCAACCNUUAUCCUUUGUUGCCAGCGGAUAGGCCGGGAACUCAAAGGAGACUGCCAGUGAUAAACUAGGAAGGUGGGGAUGACGUCAAGUCAUAUGGCCCUUACGACCAGGGCUACACACGUGCUACAAUGGCAUAUACAAAGAGAAGCGACCUCGCGAGAGCAAGCGGACCUCAUAAAGUAUGUCGUAG
Molecule: ribosomal RNA, 1089 nt
Filed under: Klebsiella sp. CL6
Lineage: Bacteria; Pseudomonadati; Pseudomonadota; Gammaproteobacteria; Enterobacterales; Enterobacteriaceae
Description: bacterial SSU rRNA
Rfam family: Bacterial small subunit ribosomal RNA
Source: RNAcentral